RNAcentral lists this long non-coding RNA (238 nucleotides) under Setaria italica (foxtail millet). RNAcentral's name for it is "long non-coding RNA (SITA_LNC003061)". The record is from RNAcentral. Lineage: Eukaryota; Viridiplantae; Streptophyta; Magnoliopsida; Poales; Poaceae.
UCACCGUAGACGCCCACCUUCCAGCCGUCCUCAUCCCCAACCAAGUGCUCAAAUGGAACCUCGAUGAGGCCCUGAUGCUUGUGCUCGCCUUUGUUUCCUAUGUUCGUUAACUUUCCAUGCGCAUUCCCGCGCUUGCCACCGUUCUUGGAACCUCUUAUGCGCCGCCCUUCCCCCAGCGCCGGUCCCUACUAGCAAGGCCUUUGGCCUUGGGGCAUGGCCCACUGCCCUCCCCCACCGC